Molecule: long non-coding RNA, 162 nt
Organism: Mustela erminea (ermine)
Lineage: Eukaryota; Metazoa; Chordata; Mammalia; Carnivora; Mustelidae
Exons: 3
Source: RefSeq, a predicted model, not a curated record
UGCUGGAAAACCUGGGAAUUGAACUCACAGAAAAGGAACGUGAAGAUCUGACAGAAUAUUUGCCACCUGACGCAAAUGGGAAGAUUGGUCUCAAAAACGUGAUGGAAGCAGUGGAAACCGUUACAGGAGGAGAGGUUGAUGUCAGUGAUGUGGGAAAUGUCC